GCCUUUUUAGUAUAAUUAGUAUAAGUGACUUCCAAUCACUUGAUCUUGGUUAAAAUCUAAGAAAAGACA
This 69-nucleotide transfer RNA is filed under the name Pleurodeles poireti (Algerian ribbed newt). RNAcentral's name for it is "tRNA-Gly". It matches the Rfam family "tRNA". From Rfam's summary of the family: Transfer RNA (tRNA) molecules are approximately 80 nucleotides in length. Their secondary structure includes four short double-helical elements and three loops (D, anti-codon, and T loops). Lineage: Eukaryota; Metazoa; Chordata; Amphibia; Caudata; Salamandridae. The record is from RNAcentral.